Molecule: ribosomal RNA, 397 nt
Filed under: uncultured bacterium
Lineage: Bacteria
Description: partial 16S ribosomal RNA
Rfam family: Bacterial small subunit ribosomal RNA
Source: RNAcentral
AUACGUAGGUGACAAGCGUUAUCCGGAUUUACUGGGCGUAAAGGGCGUGUAGGCGGUCUUGCAAGUCAGAAGUGAAAUUCCUGAGCUCAACUCGGGCGCUGCUUCUGAAACUGCAGGACUUGAGUGCUGGAGGGGAUAGCGGAAUUCCUAGUGGAGCGGUAAAAUGCGCAGAUAUUAGGAAGAACACCGGUGGCGAAGGCGGCUCUCUGGCCAGUAACUGACGCUGAGGCGCGAAAGCGUGGGGAGCAAACAGGAUUAGAUACCCUGGUAUUCCACGCCGUAAACGAUGAAUACUAGGUGUAGGGGGUAUCGACUCCCUCUGUGCCGCAGUUAACACAAUAAGUAUUCCGCCUGGGGAGUACGGCCGCAAGGUUGAAACUCAAAUGAAUUGGCGGGG